RNAcentral lists this ribosomal RNA (472 nucleotides) under uncultured bacterium. Its description in RNAcentral is "bacterial SSU rRNA". It matches the Rfam family "Bacterial small subunit ribosomal RNA", at positions 355 to 825 of the family's 1533-position model. The record is from RNAcentral.
UGGGGAAUAUUGGACAAUGGGCGAAAGCCUGAUCCAGCAACGCCGCGUGAGCGAUGAAGGCCUUAGGGUUGUAAAGCUCUUUCGCCUGGGAACAAGAGAAGCCGGCUAACAUCCGGCAGAUUUGAGGGUACCAGGUAAAGAAGCACCGGCUAACUCCGUGCCAGCAGCUGCGGUAAUACGGAGGGUGCAAGCAUUAAUCGGAUUUAUUGGGCGUAAAGCGAGUGUAGGCGGUUUGGUAAGUCGGAUGUGAAAGCCCCGGGCUCAACCCGGGAAGUGCAUUCGAUACUGCCAAGCUAGAGUAUCGGAGAGGUUGGUGGAAUUCUCGGUGUAGAGGUGAAAUUCGUAGAUAUCGAGAGGAACACCGGUGGCGAAGGCGGCCAACUGGACGAAUACUGACGCUGAGACUCGAAAGCGUGGGGAGCAAACAGGAUUAGAUACCCCCGUAGUCCCUGAGCGGGCUGGCAAGGCGCAU